RNAcentral lists this ribosomal RNA (371 nucleotides) under uncultured eukaryote. Its description in RNAcentral is "partial 18S ribosomal RNA". It matches the Rfam family "Eukaryotic small subunit ribosomal RNA", at positions 592 to 976 of the family's 1831-position model. The record is from RNAcentral.
CAAUAGCGUAUAUUAAAGUUGUUGCAGUUAAAAAGCUCGUAGUUGAAUUUCUGUCGGGAGUGACCGGGCCUUUGGAUGAACUUCCAUUGUUUUUUGCUCUGUUUGUCAUCUCUAGACAUCCUGAAAUAUUUUUUAAAAAUAUUUCUCUUUUACUGUUAGCAAAAUAGAGUGUUCCAAGCAAAGCGUAGUUUUGAAUACAUUAGAAUGGAAUAAUAAGAUAGGACUUUGGUGCUAUUUUGUUGGUUUGCACACCAAGGUAAUGAUUAAUAGGGACAGUUGGGGGUAUUCGUAUUUAAUUGUCAGAGGUGAAAUUCUUGGAUUUAUGAAAGACGAACUACUGCGAAAGCAUUUACCAAGGAUGUUUUCAUUAA